GCGAAAACUUUACAAUGCGGGAAACCGUGAUAAGGGAACUCUGAGUGCCCGUAAAAUCGGGUUGUCCAUCAGUUUAAAAAACUGGUGAAGAAAGGGCCGGGCAAGACCGGUGCCAGCCGCCGCGGUAAUACCGGCGGCUCGAGUGGUGGCCACUAUUACUGGGCUUAAAGCGUUCGUAGCGGGUUUGUUAAGUCUCUGGGGAAAUCUUCCGGCUCAACCGGAAGGCGUCUCAGGGAUACUGGCAGACUAGGGACCGGGAGAGGUGAGAGGUACUCCAGGGGUAGGAGUGAAAUCCUGUAAUCCGUGGGGGACCACCUGUGGCGAAGGCGUCUCACCAGAACGGCUCCGACAGUGAGGGACGAAAGCUGGGGGAGCAAACC
RNAcentral lists this ribosomal RNA (380 nucleotides) under uncultured prokaryote. Its description in RNAcentral is "bacterial SSU rRNA". It matches the Rfam family "Archaeal small subunit ribosomal RNA", at positions 341 to 725 of the family's 1478-position model. The record is from RNAcentral.